GCCGGGUAUGGUGGCACGUGCCUGUAGUCCCAGCGGCUCAGGAGGCUGAGGCAGGAGGAUCGCGAGUUCAGAUCCAGCCUCAGCAAGACCCUGAGCAGCUCAGCGACACCCUGUCUCUA
RNAcentral lists this small RNA (119 nucleotides) under Marmota monax (woodchuck). Lineage: Eukaryota; Metazoa; Chordata; Mammalia; Rodentia; Sciuridae. The record is from RNAcentral.